RNAcentral lists this ribosomal RNA (564 nucleotides) under Triticum aestivum (bread wheat). Its description in RNAcentral is "partial small subunit ribosomal RNA". The record is from RNAcentral. Lineage: Eukaryota; Viridiplantae; Streptophyta; Magnoliopsida; Poales; Poaceae.
AUGCACCAGCAUCUUGGACAACUGCUCCUGGCCGGCGAGGCGGCCGAUGUUACCUUCGAGGUCGGAGGCGAGACAUUUGCCGCGCACAGGUGCAUACUCGCAGCUCGUUCGUCGGUCUUCAAGGCGGAGCUCCUCGGCCCCAUGAAGGAGAAGACCGCAACUCGCGUUCUGAUCGACGACAUGGAAGCCAUGGUGUUCAAGGCUUUGCUCCACUUCAUCUACACCGAUUCGCUGCCCGCGAUCGGCGAGGGCGACACGGCGGCCAUUGCUCAGCAUUUGCUGGUUGUUGGAGUUCUAUCCAGGGUAGCGGCUGACAGGUAUGAUAUGGAAAGGCUGAAGCUGAUCUGCGAGGCGAAGCUGUGCGAUCACAUCUGCAAAAGCACGGUGGUGACUACGCUGGCGUUGGCGGAGCAGCAUGGCUGUGGUGCUCUUAAGAAGGCAUGCUUGAAGUUUCUGACGUCUGAAGGUAACCUCAAGGCAGUGAUGGCAUCUGAUGGAUAUGAGCACCUGAGCAGCAGUUGCCCAUCUGUUCUCUAUGAACUGGUCGCCAAGCUUGCUCCUUGA